UACGUAGGGUGCGAGCGUUAAUCGGAAUUACUGGGCGUAAAGCGUGCGCAGGCGGUUUUGUAAGUCUGUCGUGAAAUCCCCGGGCUUAACCUGGGAAUUGCGAUGGAGACUGCAAGGCUAGAAUCUGGCAGAGGGGGGUAGAAUUCCACGUGUAGCAGUGAAAUGCGUAGAGAUGUGGAGGAACACCGAUGGCGAAGGCAAUCCCCUGGGCCUGCACUGACGCUCAUGCACGAAAGCGUGGGGAGCAAACAGG
RNAcentral lists this ribosomal RNA (253 nucleotides) under uncultured bacterium. RNAcentral's name for it is "partial 16S ribosomal RNA". It matches the Rfam family "Bacterial small subunit ribosomal RNA", at positions 524 to 776 of the family's 1533-position model. The record is from RNAcentral.